CACAGUUAUUUGUGUGGUCCUUGAAAGGCAAGAAGACUGGGGCCCGUGGCCCUGAAAGGGGAGGUGGGGCUCCCAGCAGAGGGGACUGAGGUCUUCAUAAACAAUGAGGGACCAGAGCAGAGGGAAGGAGGACGAGAUUCCAGACUCUAGUUCCAAACAAGGCACCUGUGAUUUCUCAUCCCCUGGGCAGCGACUGCCAGGCGCCGUUCAGCGGACACCUGGGACUUGCAGUGUUAUGUGCCCAGGGAUUUUCCUGGACGGGAUUGUGAAGUAGCGGACUAGAGAAGAAGACAGGAACCAGGAUGGGAAGACGGACAUGUUACAUUUUAAGCUGGAGCUUCCCCUGCAGUCCACGGAGCACGUUCUCGGUGUGCAGCUCAUCCUGACUUUCUCCUAUCGAUUACACA
Molecule: long non-coding RNA, 407 nt
Filed under: Pan troglodytes (chimpanzee)
Lineage: Eukaryota; Metazoa; Chordata; Mammalia; Primates; Hominidae
Description: long non-coding RNA NONPTRT006392
Source: RNAcentral